Molecule: ribosomal RNA, 440 nt
Filed under: uncultured bacterium
Lineage: Bacteria
Description: bacterial SSU rRNA
Rfam family: Bacterial small subunit ribosomal RNA
Source: RNAcentral
AGCGAACGCUGGCGGCAGGCUUAACACAUGCAAGUCGAACGCCCCGCAAGGGGAGUGGCAGACGGGUGAGUAACACGUGGGAACGUACCUUUUGGUUCGGAACAACACAGGGAAACUUGUGCUAAUACCGGAUAAGCCCUUACGGGGAAAGAUUUAUCGCCGAAAGAUCGGCCCGCGUCUGAUUAGCUAGUUGGUGAGGUAAAGGCUCACCAAGGCGAUGAUCAGUAGCUGGUCUGAGAGGAUGAUCAGCCACACUGGGACUGAGACACGGCCCAGACUCCUACGGGAGGCAGCAGUGGGAAUAUUGGACAAUGGCGCAAGCCUGAUCCAGCCAUGCCGCGUGAGUGAUGAAGGCCCUAGGGUUGUAAAGACUCUUUUGUGCGGGAAGAUAAUGACGGUACCGCAAGAAUAAGCCCGGCUAACUUCGUGCCAGCAGCCGC